RNAcentral lists this non-coding RNA (103 nucleotides) under Candidatus Brocadia. RNAcentral describes it as "c-di-GMP sequence". It matches the Rfam family "c-di-GMP-I-GGC riboswitch aptamer". Lineage: Bacteria; Pseudomonadati; Planctomycetota; Candidatus Brocadiia; Candidatus Brocadiales; Candidatus Brocadiaceae. The record is from RNAcentral. RNAcentral also lists the same sequence under 1 other name.
UACGAUAAAGGCAAACCCUGAGCGAUCGGGGGACGCAAAGGAAAGGGUCUUGCUAGCGGUUUAAACCGUUUAAACCGCUUAUGAGACAGCCUUACUGCCGAAG